CCGCAUAAGAACAUUUCGGUCAACAAUGGGCCACAUAUACGACGGUCGUCCCAUAAGAUUAUAAAUGGAGCAGGAAAA
Ceratotherium simum simum (southern white rhinoceros) is the source of this 78-nucleotide non-coding RNA. NCBI's taxonomy places the organism in Eukaryota, Metazoa, Chordata, Mammalia, Perissodactyla, Rhinocerotidae. The record is from RefSeq and is a predicted model, not a curated record.